Molecule: long non-coding RNA, 167 nt
Organism: Engraulis encrasicolus (European anchovy)
Lineage: Eukaryota; Metazoa; Chordata; Actinopteri; Clupeiformes; Engraulidae
Exons: 3
Source: RefSeq, a predicted model, not a curated record
GAUCGCCCCAGAGGAGGAAGAGAAGGAGGGGGUCAGCCUCGUGGACAAGGAGCAGGAUGCGACCAGUGAGGAAUCUGGGGCUUGCUCUGAUGCCCCUCUGGUGGAGAGGGUCACUCCCGAGCCUGUGACUCCGGAAGGGAAAACAGAACAGGACUCCACGAACCAGU